Molecule: transfer RNA, 72 nt
Filed under: uncultured archaeon
Lineage: Archaea
Description: tRNA-Thr(ggt)
Rfam family: tRNA
About the family: Transfer RNA (tRNA) molecules are approximately 80 nucleotides in length. Their secondary structure includes four short double-helical elements and three loops (D, anti-codon, and T loops). Further hydrogen bonds mediate the characteristic L-shaped molecular structure. tRNAs have two regions of fundamental functional importance: the anti-codon, which is responsible for specific mRNA codon recognition, and the 3' end, to which the tRNAs corresponding amino acid is attached (by aminoacyl-tRNA synthetases). tRNAs cope with the degeneracy of the genetic code in two manners: having more than one tRNA (with a specific anti-codon) for a particular amino acid; and 'wobble' base-pairing, i.e. permitting non-standard base-pairing at the 3rd anti-codon position.
Source: RNAcentral
GCCCUGGUAGCUCAGGGGUAGAGCGCGUCCUUGGUAAGGACGAGGCCGCGAGUUCAAUUCUCGCCCAGGGCU